CGGCAUCAUCAAGAUUCACAACAAAACUUUUGUGAUGAUAAGCUCUUUUUAAUCGAUCGACUUGAUCAAAAGCUUCUCUCCGAAAUGGGAAUCUUGAUGAUGCUGCA
This 107-nucleotide microRNA precursor is filed under the name Carica papaya (papaya). RNAcentral's name for it is "miR172b stem-loop (cpa-MIR172b)". Its record names the gene cpa-MIR172b. The record is from miRBase by way of RNAcentral. Lineage: Eukaryota; Viridiplantae; Streptophyta; Magnoliopsida; Brassicales; Caricaceae.